CAGAACCAACAUAUCAUCCACCACGACCUAUUCAACCCAAAAUAGGACCUGCUGAUAGAGAUUCCCAAGGGUGUCUUCAGCUUCCUGUCAAGAACUUGGAGCUUUCGGACUUUGAUCAGUUACUUUGCUUAUUGCCAUCUUCAAGCAAUUGCAGUUAUCCUAAGGAGAAUAUAUAUAAGAAGCAGCCUAUGCUUUCUGUCAAACGAGAUGACAAAUGUGGUGCUAGUUCGUGGAUCUCGACUGCUGCCAUUCCAACUCAUCAACCUGCUGAUACAGAUGCAAGCAUGCAUGAGCAGGAGCUUCUUAGGCUUUAUGUCAGGAACUUGAAUUCCAAUUCCAACUCACAGCUCCUCGACGUCCAUCAAUGAGCUCAUAUGCUGCCAUCUUCAAGCUAUUGCAGCCAUCCCCAAAAGAGGCAUCAGCUUUCUGUUACUCGAGAUGGCGAAUGUGGUACUGAUUUGAGGAGAUUAUAUUGGUGCUGAGCCAAUUUGUCAUGCACAAUACACUAUACAACUUAAAACAAGACCAGCUGAUGCAGGUUUGUAUAGAUGCUUGUUCUUUCCUAGUGAGUAGGAUAUUGGUUAUAGUUCGGCAUCUACACUAAUCCAUCCGGUGUGCUGGUUCAAUUACUUGCAUUACAUGUGUUUUCAUAUCCAAAUUGAUGCAAGAAUGCCAGAGCAAGGGCUUCUUAAUCUACCUGUCAAGAAUCUGAAUUCCAAGUCACAGCUACUUGGUAUUGAUCAAUUAGCUCACCUGCUGUCAUCAUCAGGCAAUUGCAGCCAUCCUCAGAAGGAUGUUAAUAAGAGUCACCUUUCUCUUACCCGAGAUGACAGAUCUGGAACUAGUCUGAGGAUAUCUACUGCUGCUGAGCCAACUCGUAAUGAACCAAAAGCUAUACAAUAUAAUUUGGGAACAGCAUGCUUUCAGGAACAUAGUUUGUUUCACUUGGUCCCGCGAACAUCCGGGGAGCUGAUAUUAUUACCUGCGUCUUGAAGUUCAUCCAAAAUGGCUAAGGGAAAAGUUGUUGAGGUCGCAUUCAAGGACACUAAGUUUGGCGUGUAAGGGCGCAAAGAUAUUUUUCACUAUUUGUCAAGACAACUUGCUGGACUGUCCGAUUUUCCUCAUGCUAUACAUUUACUAAAACCCUCUGCAUCUGCUGUGACGAUGUUCGUAAAGCUGCUGAAGCAUGCUUUAGUGAAAUAUUCAGGGUUUGAGGACACGAAAUGGCAUGUGACACAAGUUGUGAAAAAUGUACAAGGUUCUUUAGCUAUUGAUGUCGAACAACUGUAACCGUAUAGGGUUUUCAAGAAAAUAUCGAAUCGGGUAGAUUGAUUUUAGCACCAUAACAUCCAAAACCAGCUCAAAGGUUGGAAAAUCCAAUGCUUAUGGUGAUCGUGCACUUCCAUCAUGGAAAGGAACAUAGUUGCAUCUUCAAGAGGUGCUCUUACCAAAGGACCAACACAAGAUUGAUUGUGUGUGUUCACGACAUCAACAUUUCAGUCACACACUUUGCUGAAUGUGAAUGACUCGAACAAGGUAAGAUAAAUUUGGCAGUUGACAUACAAGGUAUGACUUUUUGGUUAAUUGUCUGAUUGAUGUCUUCUGAUUCUUGUUGUCUUUUGAUUGUUAGUGAUUGGGUUUUUUGUGAUUAGUCUGUGGGGUUUUAUUUAGAAUUAUUUAUAUGUUUGCGUUUUUUGUGUUCUGAUUGUUUUUGUGAUGUAGGGUUGUGUUGGUUUGUUUUGUUUGUGUAAUUUAUUUUGGGUUUUGGUGCAGUUUGUCUUAAUUGUUCGAACUUGUUUCUUGGAUUGAUCUUUUACUUCAAAUUAGUUUGUGAUUGUGAGAUGUUGUUUGUGAUUCUGGAUUGUUUUUUGUCGGUUAUGAUUCUUGAAUUUCUAGUUUCUUUUAAUUUGUUUUAAUUUUGUCUUGUAAUUAGUUUUGUGAUUGUGGGCUUGGGUGCAACUGGUGUGAUAUUUGAAUUGGUUUCUUGGACCAUUCUUUGUAGUUGUGAUUAUUCAUUUUUUUGUGUGAAUUUGGUAUGAUUGAUGUUCCAAUAUUUGGUUAGUUUUCUCGGUGUUUGAUUCUUUUGAUACUCUAAUGGAAUUUCAGUAAUUCGUCGUGUGAUUGUGGGUUUCUUUUUUAUUGAUUGUUGUGUGAUUUGUGAUUGAUUGUGAUUCACGGUUUUUUUAUGAUUGUUGUGUGAUUUCUAGAUUUGUUUUGUUUAUGUGACUGUUUGUAUUUUGAUUGUUUGAUCAUUUUUGUUUGUGGGCUUGUGAAGUUGAAUUGUUGUGGAUUUUGGUGCAAUUUGACUUGAUUGUUUGAACUUGUUUCUUGGAUUAGACCUUUUGUCUUCUGAAUAGUUUAUGUCGUUUUUUGUAUUCUUUUUGUGAUUGUGGUUUGUCUUGUGAUCCUUUUUGUGAUUGUGGUUUGUCUUGUGAUUCUUUUUGUGAUUGUGGUUUGUGUUCUAAUUCUUUUUGUGAUCGCGAGUUUGUCUUAUGAAUUUUCGUGAAUGUGGGUAUUUUUCUGAUUGAUUGUUAUGUUAUUUUGUGGGAUUUUAUUUUGAUUGUUUAUGACAUUGUAUCGUUCGUAGUGCAAUUUGACGUCUCAUUGUUGUUUGUCUUGUGAUGAUUGUGGUUUGUGUUCUAAUUCACAAUUUUUUUAUGAUUGUUAUGUGAUUUCUGGAUUUGUAUUGUUUAUGUGACUGUUUGUAUUUUGAUUGUUUGAUCGUUUUUGUUUGUGGGCUUGUGAAGUUACUUGAAUUGUUGUGGGUUUUGGUGCAAUUUGACUUAAUUGUUUGAACUUGUCUCUUGGAUUAGACCUUUUGUCAUCUCAAUAGUUUAUGUGAUUAUCGGUUGUUUGUAUUUUUUUCUGUGAUUGUGGUUUGUGUUCUAAUUCAUUUUGUGAUCGCGAGUUUGUCUUAUGAAUUUUUGUGAAUGUGGGUAUUUUUCUGAUUGAUUGUUAUGUAAUUUGUGGGAUUUUUUUUUCUGAUUGUUUAUGAGAUUGUGUCGUUCAUAGUGUAUUUUGACGUGUGAUUGUUGUUUGUCUUGUGAUUGACUAUGAUUCACAGUUUUUUUUGUAACUGUUGUGUGAUUUCUGGAUUUGUAUUGUUUAUGUGACUAUUUGUAGUUUUGAUUGUUUGAUCGUUUUUGUUUGUGGGCUUGUAAAGUUACUUGAAUUGUUGUGGGUUUUGGUGCAAUUUGACUUAAUUGUUUGAACUUGUCUCUUGGAUUAGACCUUUUGUCAUCUCAAUAGUUUAUGUGAUUAUCGGUUGUUUGUAUUUUUUUUUUGUGAUUGUGGUUUGUCUUGUGAUUCUUUUUGUGAUUGUGGUUUGUGUUCUAAUUCUUUUUGCGAUCGCGAGUUUGUCUUAUGAAUUUUCGUGAAUGUGGGUAUUUUUCUGAUUGAUUGUUAUGUGAUUUGUGGGAAUUUUUUUUUCUGAUUGUUUAUGAGAUUGUGUCGUUCAUAGUGUAUUUUGACGCGUGAUUGUUGUUUGUCUUGUGAUUGAUUGUGAUUCACAGUUUUUUUAUAACUCUUGUGUGAUUUCUGGAUUUGUAUUGUUUAUGUGACUAUUUGUAGUUUUGAUUGUUUGAUCGUUUUUGUUUGUGGGCUUGUGAAGUUGAAUUGUUGUGGAUUUUGGUGCAAUUUGACUUGAUUGUUUGAACUUGUUUAUUCGAUUAGACCUUUGUCUUCUGAAUAGUUUAUGUGGUUGUUUGUAUUCUUUUUGUGAUUGUGGUUUGUCUUGUGAUUCUUUUUGUGAUUGUGGUUUGUGUUCUAAUUCUUUUUGUGAUCGCGAGUUUGUCUUAUGAAUUUUCGUGAAUGUGGGUAUUUUUCUGAUUGAUUGUUAUGUGAUUUGUGGGAUUUUUUUUUCUGAUUGUUUAUGAGAUUGUGUCGUUCAUAGUGUAUUUUGACGUGUGAUUGUUGUUUGUCUUGUGAUUGAUUGUGAUUCACAGUUUUUUUUAUAACUCUUGUGUGAUUUCUGGAUUUGUAUUGUUUAUGUGACUAUUUGUAGUUUUGAUUGUUUGAUCGUUUUUGUUUGUGGGCUUGUGAAGUUACUUGAAUUGUUGUGGGUUUUGGUGCAAUUUGACUUAAUUGUUUUACUUGUCUCUUGGAUUGACCUUUUGUCUUCUGAAUAGUUUAUGUGAUUAUCGAUUAUUUGUAUUCUUCUUGUGAUUGUGGUUUAUGUUUAAACUUUUUGUGAUCGCGAGUUUGUCUUAUGAAUUUUCGUGAAUGUGGGUACUUUUUUGAUUGAUUGUUAUGUGAUUUGUGGGAUUUUAUUCUGAUUGUUUAUGAGAUUAUGUUGUUUGUGGUCUCAUUGGGUUUUGGUGCAAUUUGUCUUAAUUGUUCGAACUUGUUUCUUGGAUUGAUCUUUUAUUUCAAAUUAGUUUGUGAUUGUGAGAUGUUGUUUGUGAUUCUGGAUUGUUUUUUGUCGGUUAUGAUUCUUGAAUUUCUAGUUUCUUGGAAUUUGUUUUAAUUUUGUCUUGCAAUUAGUUUUGUGAUUGUGGCUUGGGUGCAACUGGUGUGAUAUUUGAAUUAGUUUUUUGGACCAUUCUUUGUGGUUUGUGAUUAUUCAUUUUUUUUGGUGAAUAUGGUGUGAUUGAUGUUCCAAUAUUUGGUUAGUUUUCUAGGUGUUUGAUUCUUUUGAUGUUCUAAUGGAAUUUCAGUAAUUAGUUGUGUGAUUGUGGGUUUUUUUUUUUAUUGAUUGUUGUGUGUUUGUGGGAUUUUAUUCUGGUUGUCUAUGUGAUUGUAGUGUCUGUAGUGUAAAUUGCAUUUUUCUCUUUUUGAAUUCGUAAUUUAGGUUAUUUGGCCUUUCGUCCUUUAAUUUUAUGGGAGACGUUUUGGUCUGAUAUUAAUUUAAUUUUCACAAUUUCAAUUUAUUUUCUCGUCGAUUUUCACCUCCACCGGCAAAAAGGGUGAACUCAACCUAAAAAAAUAAUUGAAAUCAAGAAAAUUAAAAAGAUGUAGGACUAAAAUCAUAACCUAGAAAUUAAAGGACAAAAAUUGUUGGGAAAAAAA
Sesamum indicum (sesame) is the source of this 5007-nucleotide non-coding RNA. NCBI's taxonomy places the organism in Eukaryota, Viridiplantae, Streptophyta, Magnoliopsida, Lamiales, Pedaliaceae. The record is from RefSeq and is a predicted model, not a curated record.